Oncorhynchus mykiss (rainbow trout) is the source of this 223-nucleotide non-coding RNA. NCBI's taxonomy places the organism in Eukaryota, Metazoa, Chordata, Actinopteri, Salmoniformes, Salmonidae. The record is from RefSeq and is a predicted model, not a curated record.
GACCUACUGGUGUGAAAUAAACACAUGGUGGUGGUAUCACAAGACUGAAUUCAGGAUCACUGUGGACAGAGCUACUGUUCCUCCAAACCCUGGCUCCAUCACCUCCAGACCUCUCCUCUCCACGACACACCCAUCAACACACAUCACCAUGACAACUGACUCCUCAAACUCCACAGCAGAUAGGACCAAUGGAACAGUAUCCACAGACAUGACUAGAACACAA